Molecule: ribosomal RNA, 253 nt
Filed under: uncultured bacterium
Lineage: Bacteria
Description: partial 16S ribosomal RNA
Rfam family: Bacterial small subunit ribosomal RNA
Source: RNAcentral
UACGGAGGAUGCAAGCGUUAUCCGGAAUGAUUGGGCGUAAAGGGUCCGCAGGUGGCUAUGUAAGUCUGCUGUUAAAGAGCGAGGCUCAACCUUGUAAGAGCAGUGGAAACUACAUAGCUAGAGUGCGUUCGGGGCAGAGGGAAUUCCUGGUGUAGCGGUGAAAUGCGUAGAUAUCAGGAAGAACACCGGUGGCGAAAGCGCUCUGCUAGGCCGCAACUGACACUGAGGGACGAAAGCUAGGGGAGCGAAUGGG